Long non-coding RNA from Ahaetulla prasina, 2374 nucleotides. RefSeq lists it as uncharacterized. The transcript has 3 exons. The record is from RefSeq and is a predicted model, not a curated record. NCBI's taxonomy places the organism in Eukaryota, Metazoa, Chordata, Lepidosauria, Squamata, Colubridae.
GUCAGCAAGAUCUAAGCUGGGCACUGGUCCAUGUUUUCCUUAUUUUUAAAAGAGUCAUUGACCUGACAAAGGCCUGUAGUGAAAUGUGAAGAAAGAAACGAGACCAGACGUGGCUGUGUUUGCUGAAGCUUCUUUCAUCGGACAGAAAAAAACAGGGCUAUGCAUCUGCCUGCAGUCAUCAGAAUACCGAUUGUAUAUUUUAUGAAUGCUCAGCAAUUGGUUUUAAUUAGAAAGUGCACGAGAAGGAAUAAACCAGCCAAACUGGUCAUAGAAGGACUGAAGAUCUGUCCAGUCAUGGUUGUUUUAUGGUUGCCAAGCCAAGCCAUUCUGUCUACAGGACUUCAUCUGAGGCAUUUAUGAUCGUCGCGUGCUGACGGGUUCAGAACGAGGCAGAUGUCGAAGAAAAAUGUUGCCAAGAAGGUAUUUCUUGAAAUGGGUGCCGAGUGCAACAACAAUGCAAUUUUAACAACAUGCUGAUAUAGGUGGAAAGGUAAAAGAAAAGAAAGUGUCAAAAAAAAAUAUGCCAGCAAACAGCUAAGAAAGGAAAACAAUUCCAGAUUGAAUAGCCUUUGAGAAAAAAAGAGAACAAUGGUUCCUGCGAUUAUGAUCAAGUGACUGAUGAUCUAUCCUCUGCCCCCCCCCCAGCUCCUCACCCUACACACGCACUUCUUGCCCCCACUGGGAUUUUUACUGGAAUAUUUUCUGGCGCAUAAAUUGAAAAAUCUUGGCGUUGUCACUGGAAGGUAUUAUUCAUGCCGUCCUUUGAAGCAAAGACUGUAUGGAAGUGGCUUGUUUUUUUUGACACCGCUACGUUUCUAGCACCUCAUUCAGCAUUUCUCUUUUCACUAGGCUGUCAAUACAUUCUGCUGUGCAAAGGCAGGUUAAAAACGAGAAUGCAACUCCCUAAAAUGAAAGUACAGGUAGACCUACCUCGACUUACAACCGUUCGUUUAGUGGCUGUUCGAAGUUGCAAUAGCACUGAAAAAAAGGGACUUAUGACCAUUUUUCAAAGUUAUGACCUUUGCAGCAUUCUCCAUGAUCACGUGUUCAAAAUUCAGAUGAUUGGCAAACUGAUUCAUUUUUUUUUGAAAAAGUUUUUUAUUCCCCCCCCCAUAAACAUAUUUUAAAUGUACAGUUUCUUAACUAACAUACAUAUUUUCUUUUAACUUUCAUACUAAUACAAUCUUCAUCCUAAACAAUUUAAGUAUAUUCGGGGUUGCUCUUCUACCAUUUCAUCUCCUUUGUUUUACAACAAUCCUUUUCUUCUCCCUCUCCUCUCUUUCCUUUCCCUCCUUUCUUCCAUCUACUCUUCUACUUUCUUCUUUCCUCCUCUCCUUCUCCUUCUCUCUUUCCCCUUCCUUUUCCCCAUACCUCCCUUCUUCCUCCCUUCUAACCUUCUCUCCUACUCUUGUUUCCCCUCUCUUUCUUCCUCCCCUUUUCCCUUUUGUCAGCUUUGGAAGCCAUACUAGGCCGAAAGCUUCCAUGCUGCCACUUUCUCAUAUGUGGGAAAGUAGGCGGGGGGGGGGGAUUUAGUAGAGGGGUUGCCAUUAGACAUAAUAACUUUCUUCCUGCUGGUCAAGGUCAGGCCAGUCCUGCAUCUGGGAAAAGAGUGGUCGGAGUGCUGUCUCGAGAUGGGAUGUAUGGUGAUUGGAGCAUGUGAUCGACAGAGGAGUGAGGGGAUGGUUUUGGGGGUUUUGAUUUACUGAGGGAAAACCCAGACCUCUCAGAUUCGGGUUUUCCCAGAUGUGCCAGUUUACCUACCCUAGUAAAAAGAACUUUGAAAGAUGCUUGCUUCGGAGUCUUUACUUGGCGAGGGGAUUUUCUGGAACGCUGACACCUUUCUUCUUUCCUUCUCUCUCCUUCCUCUCUUCUCUCUUCUCUCCUCUAUCCCUCUCCAUUCUCUAUUGUUGUAUUCAUUUUCAAUUUAGUAUUUUCCAAAGUGGUAUUCGAGCAAUCCCGAUUUUUACUUUUUUUUCAAUUACUUUUUCAUUUUACUAAAUUCACACUUAUCAUCGUAAAUGUACAUUUUUAUAAUAAAAUUUUUCUUUCCCCCCCCUUUCCCCUUUUCCAUUUACAAAGGUGUCUUCUGGGUUUCUAUUUCUUUUUUGUCUUCUCUCUCGUUUACUUAUACCUUAUCUAAUUUAUUUCUCUAUAAUCUUUUAUUCGUAUUUCUUUUCUAACCAUACAUAAAAUCGACCCCAUGUCUUGAAAUACAACUAUUCCUCUCUAACUUUUAUUCACAAUGUUAACCUAUUCAUUUCUGCACAUUCUAACAUCUUUUUUAUUACCUCUCCUUCUGAUAGGAUUUUUUCUGUCUUCCACUUUUGUGCAAAUACAAUUCUCGCCACUGUUACUAUAUGAAUAAUCAAAUAUG